UCUUUAAUUGUGGAUUUUGAGAUAACUAAUCAUCUAUUAAAAAAGAAAGAAAGAGAGUUAAAAAAAAAAAAAAGAAACUUGCUCCACGAAACUACUUCUUUUAUGUGGUAAAUCACUGAAAUGUCAGGCACGAUCUUGCAUGCAGCUUUCAGCAUCAACUUGUUUUCCACCGGCAAUCUCUUGCUCCUGCUCCUUCUCCUUCUCUGCGUUUGUGAUCGUGCGGCCGUGCCUGACAUUCUCGCUCUCUAUACAGGUAACAACUACUUGAUAUAGAAGAUCAAAAUCUUCAUAUUAAUUUGUUUUGAAUUUGAAAGCAUUUUUUUAAAGUUAAAAUAACUUUAGCUUUUAACUUUAGCAACACAAUCAUGCAUUACAAACAAACAUGAAAUAUCAAAUUCAAAUGUUUAAUUACAAAUACUUCCAAGCAAUUAAGAAAGGUAAUAUAAACAAUAACAUGAUGCUGUUAGAUUUUUAAAAUUUUCAGUAAUCAUAUUUAUUUAUAUAUGGUCAUUUUGCAUUAAAAGUCAGGACUAGAGUAGUACGCCAUACCUGAUCGAAACAAGACGGUAUCCUAAAUGGCAAGCACUUUACUCCAAUGCAUGACAAUGCAUUGUAAUUGAUGAUGACACCUGGCAAACACUCGGGCACCAUACAUGUAAUUCUAAGGCCAAAAUUCUAAUUUGGUUUACUGAAGAAGAUGUUGAGCACAAGCUUCUGAAUCUUAAUUUCCCUCAUGGGGUCUCAAGGUUUUUUCUCAGAAGCUUGUUGAUGAUGAGUUGCUGCUGUCACCAAUAAUUCCUCAUCUGCUAAUUUGGUUUACUUUUUUAUUAUCAUUCUCAUCUGGUUGCAUGAUUAUUUUCUUCUAAAUUUGAAACUUUUAGAUUAGGGUUUAAGAAUGAAAAAAGAUAUGCCGUAUAAGGAAUUUAAAAAUCUUAAAUGAAAAUAUGUCGUAUAAAGAAUUUUUAAGGGAAAUAAAUUAUUUGAUUUUGAGUGGGGUUUAAUUAGAAAUUAUCUUAUUAUGUAAUUUUAAUAAAAGUUAAAAUUAUAAAAUAACUAAAGAGGUGUUAAGAGGUAUUUAGAAGGGUGCCAAUAGUCCCACUCUUUAUGUUUUAUAUAAUUGUACAUAUAUUUCUUUAU
RNAcentral lists this long non-coding RNA (1137 nucleotides) under Citrus x clementina. Its description in RNAcentral is "Citrus clementina (C. clementina) long non-coding RNA (CCLE_LNC000765)". The record is from RNAcentral. Lineage: Eukaryota; Viridiplantae; Streptophyta; Magnoliopsida; Sapindales; Rutaceae.